GGAGAUUGCCUUUGCUGGUGUUUUCUGAGCGAGCCCAGGAUAGGGGAAACAGAGUGGUUCAGUGGAGACUGGUUUCUGACUUUCUUCUUGCUGUGCUGGAAAACACUGAAUAUAAGCAUUCUCUUCUGAAAUUUCACCAACACAAACUGCCACAUGCUACCAAGUUCUUAAGCAUUCGUACUGCCCAGGAAGAUUUCAGGCAUAUCUGACAGACCUCAGCUAUUUGUGAUUUUAUUCAAUUCUUACUCUGGAAACAUUGCUGAUGUUGGAUCUACUUCUCAAAAAACAUUCAGCUUCAACAGUCUGGGCUUAUAGCAUAUCAACAUCAACAGUUAUAACUGGAUCUUGCUUGCAAUCUGCAAAACUAACUGAAUUCAAGGAAUGCCAUAGAUUCAACUACUAGCUUUAGAGAUAUUUUUCUGUUGCCAUUACACCACCUGUCUGCUUAUCUCCAAGAUCAGCACGGAAAUCAGAGUGCCAUACAGAUUCAGAAACGUGCUGAGAUGCAAACUGAGGCCUGUUAUCUGAAAUAAUGGGACAUCAAGAACUCCGUUUUCCAAAAGCAGACAUCAUUGUCUCAAUGAUGUCUAUAGGCAUACACAGAGAACUAAGUCAGUUUGCAUGGAGGAGAGAUCAUCUGCAACAGCAGAAUUACAUGGAGCCUUUUAAACUAGAUCAGAUCGUUUGUUAUCAGGCUCUACAGCCUGUGAAGCAGAUGCAUGGAAAGUCACGCUAGACAAACUUUUUUUCAUCUUACAUUUGUUACAUACUCUUAACAGAGUCUGCAUCUGCCUACUCAGUUUUUGCCAUGUGCAAGCCAUCUGAUAUCCACCCACCCAAAGCAUCCAAUGAUUUCUUUUUCUCCCAAUUGGAGCAGUGAUUGCAAUUCCACAAUGUUGCCACAGAGGUCAGUCAUAUCGCUUUCAACUCAAGCGGAUCUUGCACUGUGAAAGGAGAUAAACACCUGUCAAGCCCCAUAGGAGGAGAGAGACUGGGGAUACAUUACCCUCUGCACAAACAUUUCCCAUACAGAAGCAGCUGCGAAUCAAAUUAACAAGGAGCACACGCAUCAAGGUAUGCUCCAGACUAAGAGCUUGUUCCCUGUCACUCCCUAAGUAUCAUAACUUCAAGGAAUCUUUUUAAGGCUUAUGCUUGCAACAGUAAAACUCUUUGGGUUUAGCUAAGUUGAGAAAUGCUGUCAGCUGAAAUUUGCUUAACAUACAUUUUGGUGUGGACUUUAGGGCAUUUGAUGUGCUGCUGUCCAAAUUCAUGCUUCCUCCUCUGGGCCGGCUUUAGAAGGCGCUUCAGAAACAGACACAAAUGAGGUCAGACAUGCAGUCUGUAAUACCAGACAGAGAGACACAUUUGAUUUAAAAGUAAGAAAUGACUCCUCUGAUCUAACAGUCUUAGCAAAAAGCCUUCUGACUUCUAAUACUCUGAGUGUCUGGAAAAUACUCAUUGUUAAGAAGCAGACUACCAAUGAGAACCAUAAAUGCGUACAAGUUUGCCAAUAGGGUUCUGUUUUGUUCUGAUAGCCAUUGUCUCCUGAGGGUUCUGAGACUUUUACAGCUAUCCCAGACAGGAAGCAUGAGAAGAAAGGCUGACGGCCCAAGAGGAGCACAGAAGCAUCAUUUUACCUCACACAGCUCAGAGGAGCACAAUCAGAU
Molecule: long non-coding RNA, 1667 nt
Organism: Lagopus leucura (white-tailed ptarmigan)
Lineage: Eukaryota; Metazoa; Chordata; Aves; Galliformes; Phasianidae
Exons: 2
Source: RefSeq, a predicted model, not a curated record